Non-coding RNA from Paramuricea clavata, 79 nucleotides. The record is from the annotation of a GenBank genome assembly. Lineage: Eukaryota; Metazoa; Cnidaria; Anthozoa; Malacalcyonacea; Plexauridae.
AAAGUUAAAUAUUUUUCACGUGUUUGUUUCACGUGUUUUUUUUGUUUUUGUGAAACAAACACGUGAAAAAUAUUUAACU